This 422-nucleotide ribosomal RNA is filed under the name uncultured bacterium. Its description in RNAcentral is "bacterial SSU rRNA". It matches the Rfam family "Bacterial small subunit ribosomal RNA", at positions 358 to 773 of the family's 1533-position model. The record is from RNAcentral.
GGAAUCUUGCGCAAUGGGCGAAAGCCUGACGCAGCGACGCCGCGUGAGUGAUGAAGGCCUUCGGGUUGUAAAGCUCUGUGGAGAGGGACGAAUAAGUCUUGGCUAAUAUCCAAGAUGAUGACGGUACCUCUUUAGCACGCACCGGCUAACUCUGUGCCAGCAGCCGCGGUAAGACAGAGGGUGCAAACGUUGUUCGGAAUUACUGGGCGUAAAGCGCGUGUAGGCUGCACGGCAAGUCGGGUGUGAAAGCCCUGGGCUCAACCCAGGAAGUGCACUCGAAACUGCCGCGCUGGAGUCCUGGAGAGGAAGGCGGAAUUCUCGGUGUAGAGGUGAAAUUCGUAGAUAUCGAGAGGAACACCGGUGGCGAAGGCGGCCUUCUGGACAGGUACUGACGCUGAGACGCGAAAGCGUGGGGAGCAAAC